UCCGCAGUAGCUCAAUGGUAGAGCAGCCGGCUGUUAACCGGCGGGUUGUAGGUUCAAGUCCUACCUGCGGAGCCA
This 75-nucleotide transfer RNA is filed under the name Phycisphaerae bacterium. Its description in RNAcentral is "tRNA-Asn". It matches the Rfam family "tRNA". Rfam says of the family: Transfer RNA (tRNA) molecules are approximately 80 nucleotides in length. Their secondary structure includes four short double-helical elements and three loops (D, anti-codon, and T loops). Further hydrogen bonds mediate the characteristic L-shaped molecular structure. tRNAs have two regions of fundamental functional importance: the anti-codon, which is responsible for specific mRNA codon recognition, and the 3' end, to which the tRNAs corresponding amino acid is attached (by aminoacyl-tRNA synthetases). tRNAs cope with the degeneracy of the genetic code in two manners: having more than one tRNA (with a specific anti-codon) for a particular amino acid; and 'wobble' base-pairing, i.e. permitting non-standard base-pairing at the 3rd anti-codon position. The record is from RNAcentral. Lineage: Bacteria; Pseudomonadati; Planctomycetota; Phycisphaerae.